This 2787-nucleotide ribosomal RNA is filed under the name human gut metagenome. RNAcentral describes it as "bacterial LSU rRNA". It matches the Rfam family "Bacterial large subunit ribosomal RNA". The record is from RNAcentral.
AGCGUACACGGUGGAUGCCCUGGCAGUCAGAGGCGAUGAAGGACGUGCUAAUCUGCGAUAAGCGUCGGUAAGGUGAUAUGAACCGUUAUAACCGGCGAUUUCCGAAUGGGGAAACCCAGUGUGAUUCGUCACACUAUCAUUAACUGAAUCCAUAGGUUAAUGAGGCGAACCGGGGGAACUGAAACAUCUAAGUACCCCGAGGAAAAGAAAUCAACCGAGAUUCCCCCAGUAGCGGCGAGCGAACGGGGAGCAGCCCAGAGCCUGAAUCAGUGUGUGUGUUAGUGGAAGCGUCUGGAAAGGCGCGCGAUACAGGGUGACAGCCCCGUACACAAAAAUGCACAUGCUGUGAGCUCGAUGAGUAGGGCGGGACACGUGGUAUCCUGUCUGAAUAUGGGGGGACCAUCCUCCAAGGCUAAAUACUCCUGACUGACCGAUAGUGAACCAGUACCGUGAGGGAAAGGCGAAAAGAACCCCGGCGAGGGGAGUGAAAAAGAACCUGAAACCGUGUACGUACAAGCAGUGGGAGCACGCUUAGGCGUGUGACUGCGUACCUUUUGUAUAAUGGGUCAGCGACUUAUAUUCUGUAGCAAGGUUAACCGAAUAGGGGAGCCGAAGGGAAACCGAGUCUUAACUGGGCGUUAAGUUGCAGGGUAUAGACCCGAAACCCGGUGAUCUAGCCAUGGGCAGGUUGAAGGUUGGGUAACACUAACUGGAGGACCGAACCGACUAAUGUUGAAAAAUUAGCGGAUGACUUGUGGCUGGGGGUGAAAGGCCAAUCAAACCGGGAGAUAGCUGGUUCUCCCCGAAAGCUAUUUAGGUAGCGCCUCGUGAAUUCAUCUCCGGGGGUAGAGCACUGUUUCGGCAAGGGGGUCAUCCCGACUUACCAACCCGAUGCAAACUGCGAAUACCGGAGAAUGUUAUCACGGGAGACACACGGCGGGUGCUAACGUCCGUCGUGAAGAGGGAAACAACCCAGACCGCCAGCUAAGGUCCCAAAGUCAUGGUUAAGUGGGAAACGAUGUGGGAAGGCCCAGACAGCCAGGAUGUUGGCUUAGAAGCAGCCAUCAUUUAAAGAAAGCGUAAUAGCUCACUGGUCGAGUCGGCCUGCGCGGAAGAUGUAACGGGGCUAAACCAUGCACCGAAGCUGCGGCAGCGACGCUUAUGCGUUGUUGGGUAGGGGAGCGUUCUGUAAGCCUGUGAAGGUGUGCUGUGAGGCAUGCUGGAGGUAUCAGAAGUGCGAAUGCUGACAUAAGUAACGAUAAAGCGGGUGAAAAGCCCGCUCGCCGGAAGACCAAGGGUUCCUGUCCAACGUUAAUCGGGGCAGGGUGAGUCGACCCCUAAGGCGAGGCCGAAAGGCGUAGUCGAUGGGAAACAGGUUAAUAUUCCUGUACUUGGUGUUACUGCGAAGGGGGGACGGAGAAGGCUAUGUUGGCCGGGCGACGGUUGUCCCGGUUUAAGCGUGUAGGCUGGUUUUCCAGGCAAAUCCGGAAAAUCAAGGCUGAGGCGUGAUGACGAGGCACUACGGUGCUGAAGCAACAAAUGCCCUGCUUCCAGGAAAAGCCUCUAAGCAUCAGGUAACAUCAAAUCGUACCCCAAACCGACACAGGUGGUCAGGUAGAGAAUACCAAGGCGCUUGAGAGAACUCGGGUGAAGGAACUAGGCAAAAUGGUGCCGUAACUUCGGGAGAAGGCACGCUGAUAUGUAGGUGAAGCGACUUGCUCGUGGAGCUGAAAUCAGUCGAAGAUACCAGCUGGCUGCAACUGUUUAUUAAAAACACAGCACUGUGCAAACACGAAAGUGGACGUAUACGGUGUGACGCCUGCCCGGUGCCGGAAGGUUAAUUGAUGGGGUCAGCGCAAGCGAAGCUCUUGAUCGAAGCCCCGGUAAACGGCGGCCGUAACUAUAACGGUCCUAAGGUAGCGAAAUUCCUUGUCGGGUAAGUUCCGACCUGCACGAAUGGCGUAAUGAUGGCCAGGCUGUCUCCACCCGAGACUCAGUGAAAUUGAACUCGCUGUGAAGAUGCAGUGUACCCGCGGCAAGACGGAAAGACCCCGUGAACCUUUACUAUAGCUUGACACUGAACAUUGAGCCUUGAUGUGUAGGAUAGGUGGGAGGCUUUGAAGUGUGGACGCCAGUCUGCAUGGAGCCGACCUUGAAAUACCACCCUUUAAUGUUUGAUGUUCUAACGUUGACCCGUAAUCCGGGUUGCGGACAGUGUCUGGUGGGUAGUUUGACUGGGGCGGUCUCCUCCUAAAGAGUAACGGAGGAGCACGAAGGUUGGCUAAUCCUGGUCGGACAUCAGGAGGUUAGUGCAAUGGCAUAAGCCAGCUUGACUGCGAGCGUGACGGCGCGAGCAGGUGCGAAAGCAGGUCAUAGUGAUCCGGUGGUUCUGAAUGGAAGGGCCAUCGCUCAACGGAUAAAAGGUACUCCGGGGAUAACAGGCUGAUACCGCCCAAGAGUUCAUAUCGACGGCGGUGUUUGGCACCUCGAUGUCGGCUCAUCACAUCCUGGGGCUGAAGUAGGUCCCAAGGGUAUGGCUGUUCGCCAUUUAAAGUGGUACGCGAGCUGGGUUUAGAACGUCGUGAGACAGUUCGGUCCCUAUCUGCCGUGGGCGCUGGAGAACUGAGGGGGGCUGCUCCUAGUACGAGAGGACCGGAGUGGACGCAUCACUGGUGUUCGGGUUGUCAUGCCAAUGGCACUGCCCGGUAGCUAAAUGCGGAAGAGAUAAGUGCUGAAAGCAUCUAAGCACGAAACUUGCCCCGAGAUGAGUUCUCCCUGACUCCUUGA